RNAcentral lists this ribosomal RNA (950 nucleotides) under uncultured bacterium. Its description in RNAcentral is "bacterial SSU rRNA". It matches the Rfam family "Bacterial small subunit ribosomal RNA", at positions 536 to 1498 of the family's 1533-position model. The record is from RNAcentral.
GGGCGGUAUCCGGAUUUAUUGGGUUUAAAGGGAGCGCAGGCCGGGGAUUAAGCGUGACGUGAAAUGUGGCGGCUCAACCGCCGAACUGCGUCGCGAACUGGUUCCCUCGAGUGAGUACGACGUCAGCGGAAUUCGUGGUGUAGCGGUGAAAUGCUUAGAUAUCACGAAGAACCCCGAUUGCGAAGGCAGCUGACGAGUCCUUAACUGACGCUAAAGCUCGAAAGUGCGGGUAUCGAACAGGAUUAGAUACCCUGGUAGUCCGCACGGUAAACGAUGGAUGCCCGCUGUUGGCGACACACAGUCAGCGGCCAAGCGAAAGCGUUAAGCAUCCCACCUGGGGAGUACGCCGGCAACGGUGAAACUCAAAGGAAUUGACGGGGGCCCGCACAAGCGGAGGAACAUGUGGUUUAAUUCGAUGAUACGCGAGGAACCUUACCCGGGCUUGAACUGCAGGAGAACUCAUCAGAGAUGAUGAGGUCCUUCGGGACUCCUGUGGAGGUGCUGCAUGGUUGUCGUCAGCUCGUGCCGUGAGGUGUCGGCUUAAGUGCCAUAACGAGCGCAACCCCUCUCUUCAGUUGCCAUCAGGUUGGGCUGGGCACUCUGGAGACACUGCCACCGUAAGGUGUGAGGAAGGUGGGGAUGACGUCAAAUCAGCACGGCCCUUACGUCCGGGGGUACACACGUGUUACAAUGGUAGGUACAGAGAGCAGGCCGCCUGCAAAGUCGGCCGAAUCACGAAAGCCUACCUCAGUUCGGAUUGGGGUGUGCAACCCGACCCCAUGAAGCUGGAUUCGCUAGUAAUCGCGCAUCAGCCAUGGCGCGGUGAAUACGUUCCCGGGCCUUGUACACACCGCCCGUCAAGCCAUGAAAGCCGGGGGCGCCUGAAGUCCGUGACCGCGAGGGUCGGCCUAGGGUGAAACCGGUGAUUGGGGCUAAGUCGUAACAAGGUA